UCUCCGGGGGUCAUCGCGUCGCCAGACGGCAAGAGCCGAUGGCUGGUAGAAGCAGAUACGGAGAGAGGAAGUGUGGGUGUUUGUUUAAGUGCGUUUGAAUGGAGGGGGACGCUUUAUUUCCUCCCCUCUGAGUGAAACUCAACACGGCGGUGCAGGAGAGGAGGCUCAUUCUUUUUGUUCAGCGCACUGAGUCAUGCCAUUGGUGUUUAGACGGCGCAUUUCAUGUUAUUAAUGUGCCUCGGGGACUCGGUUUGAGCUCAUCAUUGAGAUGAAUGUGCAGACGCAUAAUGGAACGGCCAGCCCUAGAACAGGGCAGCUGAACCCUUGGUUGUCCCCAGAGGAGGUUGUGAAACAACCCCAGUACGACCUCAUACGGAUGGCGGUUCUGGGGCAGGGCCUGCCGUACCAUUACACGCCCCAGCGGCCCUGGAGAUGAACAUGAUCUUGGAAAUGGAGCAGACGGAGAAACAGGCCGCGGACCCAGGACAAGGGGCCCUAGGGUUGGGGGUCCCCAGAGCCCAUGGCUCAAUGACUCGGGUCAAUAUUUUUCAAAAUCAUCACUAUUUGUUGUUCAUAGUCCUUAAAACUGAUUUUCAAUGUCAAUCAUACUUGAGUUUUAGUUUUUAACCAGCUUUGUAUACCAGUUUUAACAGAUAACCGCGGGUUAAUAUGAAGCCGGAAACCAUUUCAUCCCUAAUCCACAUGAAAAAACAUGUUAAGCCACGAUGACGCAACUCGCAUCAAGCUGGUCAUGGCAGAGCCCGUGUUUUGCAUUGAAUGCAAAACAAGGGCUCAGCCAUUGACAGCUCUCCAAGAGAUUGAUGGACAUCUUCAUGUGUACCAAGUGCAGCAAUUUGAAGCCCACAUAAAACAAGUAGCCGAGUUAUUUCAUAACGGCAUAUGCGAAAGCACUCUUUCAUGUGAUUUGAACAUAGACCUCCAAGACCAGGAUGGUCUCAGUUUACCUAUGGUUUGCACUCAGUAGAAUGAAGCUGUGAAACGGUACAGUAGUAAAGUAAAUUUACGUUUAGCACAUUUAGCAAAUGCUUUUAUCCAAAAAAGGGUUAGGAGAAACGGUAAAUGGACUGCAUUUAAAUAGCGCGUUACUAACCAGUGGCCACCCCAAGCGCUUUACAAUAUUGCCUAAGAUUCACAGAUUCACACGCCGACUGCGGUGUCAGCCAUGUAAGGCGACAGCCAAAUCACCAGGAACAGUAAGGGCUAGGUGCCUUGCUCAGGGACACUUCGACACUCCAUGUGUCCAUCCGGUUACCAGCCAACCGGCAUGUGGCUCUACC
This is a long non-coding RNA of Gadus morhua (Atlantic cod), 1298 nucleotides long. RefSeq lists it as uncharacterized. The transcript has 3 exons. NCBI's taxonomy places the organism in Eukaryota, Metazoa, Chordata, Actinopteri, Gadiformes, Gadidae. The record is from RefSeq and is a predicted model, not a curated record.